Molecule: unclassified non-coding RNA, 378 nt
Filed under: uncultured Parachlamydiaceae bacterium
Lineage: Bacteria; Pseudomonadati; Chlamydiota; Chlamydiia; Parachlamydiales; Parachlamydiaceae
Description: contains 16S-23S intergenic spacer region
Source: RNAcentral
UCCUGGUUAACCCAGGCAGUCUCAUUAGAGUUCCCACCUUAACGUGUUGGCAACUAAUGAUAAGGGUUGCGCUCGUUGCGGGACUUAACCCAACACCUCACGGCACGAGCUGACGACAGCCAUGCAGCACCUGUGCAGAGGCCCCGAAGGGAAAUCACAUUUCUGCAAUCGUCCUCUGCAUGUCAAGCCUGGGUAAGGUUCUUCGCGUUGCAUCGAAUUAAACCACAUGCUCCACUGCUUGUGCGGGUCCCCGUCAAUUCUUUUGAGUCUCACCCUUGCGAGCGUACUCCCCAGGCGGUAUACUUAACGCGUUCGCUACGGCACAACUAGGGUUGAUUCCAGUUACACCAAGUAUACAUAGUUUACGGCAAGGACUAC